Molecule: ribosomal RNA, 506 nt
Filed under: uncultured bacterium
Lineage: Bacteria
Description: partial 16S ribosomal RNA
Rfam family: Bacterial small subunit ribosomal RNA
Source: RNAcentral
AGUGAACGCUGGCGGUAGGCCUAACACAUGCAAGUCGAACGGCAGCACAGGAGAGCUUGCUCUCUGGGUGGCGAGUGGCGGACGGGUGAGGAAUACAUCGGAAUCUACUUUUUCGUGGGGGAUAACGUAGGGAAACUUACGCUAAUACCGCAUACGACCUACGGGUGAAAGCAGGGGAUCUUCGGACCUUGCGCGAUUGAAUGAGCCGAUGUCGGAUUAGCUAGUUGGCGGGGUAAAGGCCCACCAAGGCGACGCUCCGUAGCUGGUUUGAGGGCAAGAGCAGCCACACUGGGACUGAGACACGGUCCAGACUCCUACUGGAGGCAGCAGUGGGGAAUAUUGGACAAUGGGCGCAAGCCUGAUCCAGCCAUACCGCGUGGGUGAAGAAGGCCUUCGGGUUGUAAAGCCCUUUUGUUGGGAAAGAAAUCCAGCUGGCUAAUACCCGGUUGGGAUGACGGUACCCAAAGAAUAAGCACCGGCUAACUUCGUGCCAGCCGCCGCCGUAA